Non-coding RNA from Podarcis lilfordi (Lilford's wall lizard), 73 nucleotides. The record is from the annotation of a GenBank genome assembly. Lineage: Eukaryota; Metazoa; Chordata; Lepidosauria; Squamata; Lacertidae.
UGAAUAGCUCCGUCAGGACAGCAUGAGACUUGUAAUCUCAGGGUUGUGGGUUCGAGCCCCACAUUGGGCAAAA